AUGCGGUCAAGACGAUGUGCAUGGGCUCGAUUGUCGUGUGCGGAGGCUCAGGGUCUGCGUCGACAUUUCAAGGAGAUCCAGUUCAAGUCCGAUGAGACCGGCGAUGAAUUUGCCAUGCGUUUGAGCGGGCUUGUCAACAACAUGUCCAUCCAUGGCGACCAGGUCUCUGAUGGCCGCCUAGUGCGGAAGUUUCUUCGUGUUGUGCCCCACAAGUACUCUCUGGUGGCGCGCUCGAUCGAGACCCUUGUCAAUAGGGAUGGCACCCGCCGGGUUUGGGAAGAGUGUGAAAGGAUCGAUAUAGUUGACUAG
RNAcentral lists this ribosomal RNA (309 nucleotides) under Triticum aestivum (bread wheat). Its description in RNAcentral is "partial small subunit ribosomal RNA". Lineage: Eukaryota; Viridiplantae; Streptophyta; Magnoliopsida; Poales; Poaceae. The record is from RNAcentral.